This 288-nucleotide ribosomal RNA is filed under the name uncultured Bacteroides sp. Its description in RNAcentral is "partial 16S ribosomal RNA". It matches the Rfam family "Bacterial small subunit ribosomal RNA", at positions 1199 to 1503 of the family's 1533-position model. Lineage: Bacteria; Pseudomonadati; Bacteroidota; Bacteroidia; Bacteroidales; Bacteroidaceae. The record is from RNAcentral.
GGCUUACUCACGGGGUACCAGUGUUCAAUGGGAGGUACAGAAGGUGUCCGGCGACGGGAUGCCAAUCCCCAAAACCUCUCUCAGUUCGGAUUGGAGUCUGCAACCCGACUCCAUGAAGCUGGAUUCGCUAGUAAUCGCGCAUCAGCCACGGCGCGGUGAAUACGUUCCCGGGCCUUGUACACACCGCCCGUCAAGCCAUGAAAGCCGGGGGUACCUGAAGUGCGUGACCGCAAGGAGCGUCCUAGGGUAAAACUGGUGAUUGGGGCUAAGUCGUAACAAGGUAGCCGU